This 90-nucleotide signal recognition particle RNA is filed under the name Providencia alcalifaciens. RNAcentral describes it as "Bacterial small signal recognition particle RNA". It matches the Rfam family "Bacterial small signal recognition particle RNA". From Rfam's summary of the family: The signal recognition particle (SRP) is a universally conserved ribonucleoprotein involved in the co-translational targeting of proteins to membranes. The record is from RNAcentral. Lineage: Bacteria; Pseudomonadati; Pseudomonadota; Gammaproteobacteria; Enterobacterales; Morganellaceae. RNAcentral also lists the same sequence under 1 other name.
UUGGUUCUCCCGCAACGCUAACUUGUUAACUAGGUCAGGUCCGGAAGGAAGCAGCCAUAGCAGGGGUCGUGUGUGCCGGGAUGUCGCUGG